RNAcentral lists this ribosomal RNA (433 nucleotides) under uncultured bacterium. Its description in RNAcentral is "partial 16S ribosomal RNA". It matches the Rfam family "Bacterial small subunit ribosomal RNA", at positions 29 to 507 of the family's 1533-position model. The record is from RNAcentral.
AAUGAACGCUGGCGGCAUGCCUAACACAUGCAAGUCGAACGAGACCCUCGGGUCUAGUUGCUCACGGGUGCGUCACGUGUGGGAAGCUUGCCGUAGGUUUGGAAAACCCCUCCGAAAGGGGUGCUAAUACCGGGGAAUGUCCUCGGACACAAGAUCGAACGCGGUUGGAUGGGCCGGCGUUGGAUUAGCCAGUUGGUAGGGUAAAAGCCUACCAAGGCGACGAUCCAUAGCUGGUCUGAGAGGAUGGUCAGCCACACUGGGACUGAGACACGGCCCAGACUCCUACGGGAGGCAGCAGUGGGGAAUAUUGGACAAUGGGCGAAAGCCUGAUGCAGCAAUGCCGCGUGAGUGAUGAAGGCCUUAGGGAUGUAAAGCUCUUUUACCCGGGAUGAUAAUGACGGUACCGGGAGAAUAAGCACCGGCUAACUCCGUG